AGAGAGAGACAUGCGCGCAUAUCAAUAAGCGGAGGAAAAGAAACUAACAAGGAUUCCCUUAGUAACGGCGAGUGAAGCGGGAAGAGCUCAAAUUUGAAAUCUUCAAGGUUUUACCUUGACGAAUUGUAGUUUAAAGAAGUGUUUUCCGCUGAAGUUUUGGUAAAAGUUCUUUGGAAUAGGACAUCAUAGAGGGUGAGAAUCCCGUAUUUGACCAUUAUUUUCCAGCUUUGUGAUACACUUUCAAAGAGUCGGAUUGUUUGGGAAUGCAGUCCAAAAUGGGUGGUAAAUUUCAUCUAAAGCUAAAUAUUGGCGAGAGACCGAUAGCGAACAAGUACCGUGAGGGAAAGAUGAAAGGAACUUUGAAAAGAGAGUUAAACAGUACGUGAAAUUGUCAAAAGGGAAGCGUUUGACACCAGUGUUGUUUUCUCGAAAAUCAAUUAAAAAUGGCUCGAUUUUGUAUUGUUGAGACCUUAAAAGCUCACUGUACAUUUUUCGUGUCUUUUUUAAUGCACUUUUCGUUUAACAAGUCAACAUCAGUUUCUUUUGUUGUAAAAGGGUCAUUGGAAGGUGGCUUUCUUUUCGGAGAAAGUGUUUAUAGCCUUUGGCCUCUGCAAUCGAAGAGACUGAGGUCUGCAGCGUAGACUCUUCGGGGUUAGAUACAUUUGUGCUAAGUUAUAGCUUUUUAUAGACAACUUGUUGACUAUAAUUAGUCUUGUAGCUUACUCGCUUAUGCUAUUUUACCUACGCUUAGGAUGUUGAAGUCAUCGUAUCGCGC
This 775-nucleotide ribosomal RNA is filed under the name uncultured Neocallimastigales. RNAcentral describes it as "partial large subunit ribosomal RNA". It matches the Rfam family "Eukaryotic large subunit ribosomal RNA", at positions 23 to 645 of the family's 3401-position model. The record is from RNAcentral. Lineage: Eukaryota; Fungi; Neocallimastigomycota; Neocallimastigomycetes; Neocallimastigales.